Xenopus tropicalis (tropical clawed frog) is the source of this 589-nucleotide long non-coding RNA. RefSeq lists it as uncharacterized. The record is from RefSeq and is a predicted model, not a curated record. NCBI's taxonomy places the organism in Eukaryota, Metazoa, Chordata, Amphibia, Anura, Pipidae. The transcript is spliced from 3 exons.
CCAGCAGCAUAGUUGUUAUAUAUAAACAUUCACAGUAAAGAACAUUUCAGCCCACUAGAAUCUCUAUUCCAAUCUGCCACUGAAACCAUUGCCUGGUCACUAGGGUAAGUGAGACCCUAGCAACCAGUUUACAUUCUCUACCUAGAACGCUGUAGAUGUAGUGUUAGUGUAUGGGGAAUCGGUACAAAUGUAAUGUUGUUGCAGUGGGUAAAAAUAUCCUUUUUUUUGCAGGUUGAGAAGAGACAGAAGACAUCUAUACCCAGUGCAGCCCCACAAGCAGCUACAGUGCAGCCAAUGAUGAUAACAUGGAACCAAAGGAGGAGUCCAGAAAAUCAGAAUCUCUAGAAUGAAGAAGAACCAUUUUAUGAGGAAAUGCUACAGAUUACACAGGAUCAGCAUUCUCAGGGACUCAAACAGUCGAGCUCAGCGCAGUCCAGCAGGAACCUCAGGAACAGGGGACUCGGGAACUUGAGAUCAGAAGGGUCUGGAUCAGCAGAUCCAGAGAUGGAAAGGUCAGCAGGAACAGCCCCAACACAUACCCAAUUCCCCUAUAGAGACAUACCAUUAAAAUGGCAGCAUAGUUAUUUUU